This 468-nucleotide ribosomal RNA is filed under the name uncultured bacterium. Its description in RNAcentral is "partial 16S ribosomal RNA". It matches the Rfam family "Bacterial small subunit ribosomal RNA", at positions 28 to 507 of the family's 1533-position model. The record is from RNAcentral.
GAUGAACGCUGGCGGCGUGCUUAACACAUGCAAGUCGAACGGAAAGGCCGAAGCUUGCUUCGGUACUCGAGUGGCGAACGGGUGAGUAACACGUGGGUGAUCUGCCCUGUACUUUGGGAUAAGCUUGGGAAACUGGGUCUAAUACCGGAUAUGACGAUCUCUUGGAUGGGGUUGUGGACAGCUUUUGCGGUAUGGGAUGUGCUCGCGCCCUAUCAGCUUGUUGGUGGGGUAUUGGCCUACCACGGCGUCGACGGGUAGCCGGCGUGAGAGGGUGUACGGCCACACUGGGACUGAGAGACGGCCCAGACUCCGACAGGAGGGAGCAGUGGGGAAUAUUGCACAAUGGGCGCAAGCGUGAUGCAGCGACGCCGCGUGGGGGAUGACGGCCUUCGGGUUGUAAACACCGUUCGCGAUCGACGAAGCCUGUUGGUGACGGUAGGUUGAGAAGAAGCACCGGCUAACUACGUG